This 216-nucleotide unclassified non-coding RNA is filed under the name plant metagenome. RNAcentral's name for it is "partial contains small subunit ribosomal RNA and internal transcribed spacer 1". The stretch from base 1 to 46 matches the Rfam family "Eukaryotic small subunit ribosomal RNA", at positions 1786 to 1831 of the family's 1831-position model. The record is from RNAcentral.
AAGUCGUAACAAGGUUUCCGUAGGUGAACCUGCGGAAGGAUCAUUACAGAGUUCAUGCCCUUCGGGGUAGACCUCCCACCCUUGUGUAUUUAUACUUUGUUGCUUUGGUAGGCCGUUGGGCUCCGGCCUAGCCACUGGCUCUGGCUAGUAAGUGCCUACCAGAGGAAACCAAACCCUGAAUGUUAGUGUCGUCUGAGUACUAUAUAAUAGUUAAAA